This 1178-nucleotide long non-coding RNA is filed under the name Junco hyemalis (dark-eyed junco). RNAcentral describes it as "lncRNA (ENSJHYG00000009877.1)". The record is from RNAcentral. Lineage: Eukaryota; Metazoa; Chordata; Aves; Passeriformes; Passerellidae.
UUUUCAUCCCUGAGCAUGAUUUCUUAUGGAUGGAAAAUCGGAAAAGAGUUACCACUGAUUGUUGUCAAAAGUGUCUGCAUUAGCAUAAAUGAUUCCUCUCUGCAUUUGCACACAACUCCCUGACUCAGGCAUCAUCAUCCAGAAUUGAAUACUCACUUGGGAAGAAUAUUUUUCUAUAUAUACUUUUCCCAUUACAACCUAUGCAAAAGUAAACAGAGAUACAGAUAUUACUGCCUUCUUCAAUCAGAGUUGUGGAAAUAAAACCUGUCCAUUUUUUUCUUGGACAAAGGAAAAAGCCUUCAUGCUUCCCAUGAACAGGAAGUUUCAGGAUAGCAUCCUGGUGUAAGUGAAUGUAAUGAAUUAAUUCUUUACUCAUUUCUUGUGAGAGAAAGCCUCUCCAAUCAUUCACAUGUGGUUGUGUGUGUCUUUAUUCAUAUGCUUAUGUGCUUUGUUGGAUGAGAGAGGAAGGCACUGCUAUUUGAUGCUAAAGACACGGAAUUUCUUAAGAAGGGAGAAGGGGUUUCUGGGUUUCAUAUAAAAGCACUUGUUUUCAGUUUUGAACAUUUUGAUAGAAGCAUUUGUUCUUGUAUUUCCACUGCAGAGGAAACUCCUACCAGCUGAAGAUGUGGAGUGAUGUAAAGCAGGAGGAUGUAUGUUCCAGGAAACAAUUACCCUGGCUCUUUGCAGAGAAAAAAAGAAGAAAGGGAGUAAAAUCUAAAGCAUUAAUUCCACACCCCUCCACAUCUCCCCCAUCCUUCUUUCACAGAUUCAUUUCCGUGGCAGAGCUGGAGCUGAUUAAGGACCACUGGCCAGAGGGGAGCAGUGUCAGGGCCACCCAGCCUGGCACCAGGCAUCCUGCAUUCAAUGUGGCAAAAUGGAGGCACGUCUUCCUAGCAGUGAGCAGAAACCUCAGCAAAGAAGCAGUCUGGUUCUCAUGGCAACCAGGAUUUCCAUAUACUGCAGGGGUACACACAGUCUGACAUCACUUUGCUGCAGGGAGGAUUUCUGUGCAUACUCAAGGACUAAAUUAAGCCCUUUGUAAAUGAAGAAUGUGUGUCCAUUUUCCUGCAUGUAACUGUAUGGCUUUCCUCCUGUGAAAGGGAGAAGAAUAGGGAAAGAAAAGAAGAUGCAAAAUUAUAUUUCUCUAAGUCAAAAUAAAAAUAGCCCUGACACACCCA